GCCAGAAGUGUCCUUAUGUAUCUGCAGAACUGUGGGGUGGGUUUUUUUUUCUCAAAGGGCAGGAGUAUUCCACCUUCUCAGGGAAUCUUUGGUUUAAUCCUUCUCGCUCAGAUGUGGCGACUACACAACUUAGGCUGUCGUUACUAAUUGAGAGAGAGAACAAGAAGAAGCGUGGUUUUGCCACCACAGCAAAGCUGCUUUCAAACACAAAUGGCUCUAAUAGUUGGGAACUGGAGGUUUAAGGUAACUUCUGCUGCCAGAGCCCGGGCGGCCACUAAACCUCGCACUCCCUGUCCCUAGACCAGCUGGUUGCUGCCAUCAUGCGGCCAGCUCGUUUAUUUGCAGCCACGUUAAUCAUUUCUUCCUCGGUUUUCGUUUCUCUGCUCCUGCAGGGCUUUCUCUUUCCUCCCUAUAGCAUCCUCUGGUGCUUUCUGCCUUGUCGGGAUGGCUCCAGCGUCUUGCCAGAAAGAAAGGUCUCCCUGCCUGCAGGCCGGCAGCACUGUGUCGUGUUUGGAUUUGUUGUGGCUGAAGAGCCUGACCUGGUGUUGAUUUCAAAGAAUAAUUUGGAAAGCCCUGCUGCAGGUACCUCCAGGUUCCACAAGCUCAAGGCACGUUCACCAAAGAUCACCCGGGAGUCUCGACAGCGCUGGGGACGCUUCCUCCUGGGCCGCGGUGAAACAGUCGCCUUAAACGUCAGGGUCAACACUCCUAAAUUCCCGGUGCGCUUUCAAUUAGCCACGCUUCCCUUCGCCCAUCCUGCAGCGUUGUUUUAUGUUAUCAAAACGCUACUCGAACCUCCGGCUCGGGGACUGCCGGACUUGGGCUGUGAGGGUGUUGAGCAGAACCGGCCUUGAAGCGUGUUAGUGCAUCUCCUCCCUCGGCGCCAUGUCCUGGGUCCCGGGCAGCGGGCACCAACGAGGGGGCAACGCCGCAGCCCUGUGGGGAGCAGCGAUGCCGUGGGUCCUCUUCCUCCAGGCCGGGACCUGCCCUUCGGCCUCGGUUUUCACCUCUGGCAGCCCCAGGAGACGUUCCUUCGUGGCGGCUGCGGAGAGGCCGGGGGAAGACGCGACUCCGUCAUGGCGGGGCAGAGACCCCUGAGGGAGGAGGCCGCGUCUCCUCGGUGAGGGAGCUGGACAGGCCGCGGGACUCCGGUCCUCGAGGGGGAGGAACGCGAUGGCGGCGUGGCUUGGGACUGCGCUGCCAGCACCGUCCGCAGGGCUCCCUGCGGACAAAGCAGUACGGUCCCCACGCUGCAUUUCUCAAGGGAGUUGUGCCAGGGCUCACAGGGAUGGCCAGAACAGCCAGGCUGCCUCUUCACGCCAUCUUAAGGUGGAAAGCGAGGGCAGGUUCCCAAUGUGUGUCAUCAACUUGGAAGCUCUGUGUAGAAGAGGGAAUCGUACGUCGCAGCAAUCUGCAGGUGACUACUGGACGCCAACCUGAUUCUAGUCCAGCUGCUGACAGUUCUUGCAGAGAAAAAGAAAAUGUAUUUGCCCUGAAGUCCUAAUUAUUAUAAAAUAGCACGUCUUUAUUUUUUUCAGAAACUAAGGCCUUUUAUUGCAUUUUGCGUCACCAUUCAAACUUAGGAAUAAACCGCGCUGAACCAUGAUGCGUUCUUAAAUGCAGUAUCUCAGCAGUUUACAGUGUUCGACCUGAACACGUGAACCACUUGAAAAACAUUAUUGCUAAUGAUGGAAUAGCUCCAUCUUCUGGAACAAAAGUUAUUUCCUUGACAGCCAUCUUUCUAUUUCCAACAUGGAUCUAUAUGUAACAGCUUCUAUUUCAAAACCUAACUUGAAUAUUUUUACUGAUGGCAGGUGAAUCUUGGGUAGAAAACGGGAGGGAUUUAGGAUAAUGUGAUCUCUGAUAAACUUUAGGACUUUAUUUUCUAAUGACACUGGAAACGCAUGGCCGUCGUUCAACAUGCCAUAUUAAAAACUGACCUUACUAUUCAAGAAAUAGCUGGACUCUGAUUUUGAGAGCAAGAAUUUAAGCUCCGUUUAAGGCAAAACACUCCACGCAGAUCGUUAACUUUAGUCCUGAUUUAGGUACUUUAAAUCGGGAGGCGGGCGGCGGGGCGGCACCUCGCGCGCACCCACCCCGCGGCGGCGGGAACCGCGCGGUUGCCACGGCAACGGGAGACGCCCCGCUCCCGCCCCGCCCUUUCCCUAGGAGCGCUCUGCGCUUGCGCCGGGCUCCGCGCCUACGUGGGGUCGCGUCGGGGGCGUGGCCCGCCCCGCCCCCCUCCCCCUCUUGCCCGCCCUCCCCGCGUGCGCGGCC
Molecule: long non-coding RNA, 2277 nt
Filed under: Accipiter nisus (Eurasian sparrowhawk)
Lineage: Eukaryota; Metazoa; Chordata; Aves; Accipitriformes; Accipitridae
Description: lncRNA (ENSANIG00000003642.1)
Source: RNAcentral